CCUACGGGAGGCAGCAGUGAGGAAUAUUGGUCAAUGGCCGGAAGGCUGAACCAGCCAUGCCGCGUGAAGAUCAGUGCCCUAUGGGCGUUAAACUUCUUUUGUGCGGGAGCAAUAAUGGUCACGUGUGGCCAGACGAGAGUACCGUACGAAUAAGCAUCGGCUAACUCCGUGCCCGCAGCCGCGGUAAUACGGGGGAGGCAAGCGUUAUCCGGAGUUAUUGGGUUUAAAGGGUGCGUAGGCUGGGAGGUAAGUCAGCGGUGAAAUGCCCCCGCUCAACGGGGUGAAGUGCAAUUGAUACUGCCUUGCUGGAAUGCGGAUGCCGUGGGAGGAAUGUGUGGUGUAGCGGUGAAAUGCAUAGAUAUCACACAGAACACCGAUUGCGAAGGCAUCUCACGAAUCCGCGAUUGACGCUGAUGCACGAAAGCGUGGGUAUCAAACAGGAUUAGAUACCCCGGUAGUC
RNAcentral lists this ribosomal RNA (460 nucleotides) under uncultured bacterium. RNAcentral's name for it is "partial 16S ribosomal RNA". It matches the Rfam family "Bacterial small subunit ribosomal RNA", at positions 338 to 795 of the family's 1533-position model. The record is from RNAcentral.